AUUGAACGCUGGCGGCAUGCUUUACACAUGCAAGUCGAACGGUAACAGGCCUUCGGGUGCUGACGAGUGGCGAACGGGUGAGUAAUGCAUCGGAACGUACCCAGAGGUGGGGGAUAACGCAGCGAAAGCUGUGCUAAUACCGCAUGUGAUCUGAGGAUGAAAGCGGGGGACCGAGCAGCAAUGUUUGGCCUCGCGCCUUUGGAGCGGCCGAUGUCGGAUUAGCUAGUUGGUGGGGUAAAGGCCUACCAAGGCGACGAUCCGUAGCUGGUCUGAGAGGACGACCAGCCACACUGGGACUGAGACACGGCCCAGACUCCUACGGGAGGCAGCAGUGGGGAAUUUUGGACAAUGGGCGCAAGCCUGAUCCAGCAAUGCCGCGUGCGGGAAGAAGGCCUUCGGGUUGUAAACCGCUUUUGGCAGGAACGAAAUGGUGUCCGCUAAUACCGGGCGCUAAUGACGGUACCUGCAGAAUAAGCACCGGCUAACUACGUG
This 492-nucleotide ribosomal RNA is filed under the name uncultured bacterium. RNAcentral describes it as "partial 16S ribosomal RNA". It matches the Rfam family "Bacterial small subunit ribosomal RNA", at positions 30 to 507 of the family's 1533-position model. The record is from RNAcentral.